UAAGGUUAAGUUAAUAAGGGCGCACGGUGGAUGCCUUGGCACUAGAAGCCGAAGAAGGACGUGACUAACGACGAAAUGCUUUGGGGAGCUGUAAGUAAGCGCUGAUCCAGAGAUGUCCGAAUGGGGGAACCCACUAGUUAAUGACUAGUAUCCAUAUCUGUUAAGGAUAUGAGAAGGAAGACGCAGUGAACUGAAACAUCUAAGUAGCUGCAGGAAGAGAAAGCAAAAGCGAUUGCCUUAGUAGCGGCGAGCGAAACGGCAGGAGGGCAAACCGAAGUGUUUACACUUCGGGGUUGUAGGACUGCGAUAUAGGAUUAAUCAUUAUAGAAGAAUUACCUGGGAAGGUAAGCCAAAGAGAGUAACAGCCUCGUAUUUAAAAUGAUAGAUUAACCUUAGCAGUAUCCUGAGUACGGCGAGACACGCGAAAUCUCGUCGGAAUCUGGGAGGACCAUCUCCCAACCCUAAAUACUCUCUAGUGACCGAUAGUGAACCAGUACCGUGAGGGAAAGGUGAAAAGCACCCCGGGAGGGGAGUGAAAUAGAACCUGAAACCGUGUGCCUACAACAAGUUCGAGCCCGUUAAUGGGUGAGAGCGUGCCUUUUGUAGAAUGAACCGGCGAGUUACGAUAUGAUGCGAGGUUAAGUUGAAGAGACGGAGCCGUAGGGAAACCGAGUCUUAAUAGGGCGUCAUAGUAUCAUGUUGUAGACCCGAAACCAUGUGACCUACCCAUGAGCAGGUUGAAGGUGAGGUAAAACUCACUGGAGGACCGAACCAGGGCACGUUGAAAAGUGCUUGGAUGACUUGUGGGUAGCGGAGAAAUUCCAAACGAACUUGGAGAUAGCUGGUUCUCUCCGAAAUAGCUUUAGGGCUAGCGUCGAUGUUAAGUCUCUUGGAGGUAGAGCACUGUUUGGGUGAGGGGUCCAUCCCGGAUUACCAAUCUCAGAUAAACUCCGAAUGCCAACGAGAUAUAAUCGGCAGUCAGACUGCGAGUGCUAAGAUCCGUAGUCGAAAGGGAAACAGCCCAGACCACCAGCUAAGGUCCCAAAAUAUAUGUUAAGUGGAAAAGGAUGUGGGGUUGCACAGACAACUAGGAUGUUAGCUUAGAAGCAGCUAUUCAUUCAAAGAGUGCGUAAUAGCUCACUAGUCGAGUGACCCUGCGCCGAAAAUGUACCGGGGCUAAAACAUAUUACCGAAGCUGUGGAUGACACAAAAGUGUCAUGGUAGGAGAGCGUUCUAUGUGUGAAGAAGGUGUACCGUGAGGAGCGCUGGAACGCAUAGAAGUGAGAAUGCCGGUAUGAGUAGCGCAAGACAGGUGAGAAUCCUGUCCACCGUAAGACUAAGGUUUCCAGGGGAAGGCUCGUCCGCCCUGGGUUAGUCGGGACCUAAGGAGAGACCGAAAGGUGUAUCCGAUGGACAACAGGUUGAUAUUCCUGUACUAGAGUAUAUAGUGAUGGAGGGACGCAGUAGGCUAACUAAACCAGACGAUUGGAAGUGUCUGGU
This 1500-nucleotide ribosomal RNA is filed under the name Streptococcus agalactiae. RNAcentral's name for it is "bacterial LSU rRNA". It matches the Rfam family "Bacterial large subunit ribosomal RNA", at positions 1 to 1512 of the family's 2925-position model. The record is from RNAcentral. Lineage: Bacteria; Bacillati; Bacillota; Bacilli; Lactobacillales; Streptococcaceae.